RNAcentral lists this ribosomal RNA (253 nucleotides) under uncultured bacterium. RNAcentral describes it as "partial 16S ribosomal RNA". It matches the Rfam family "Bacterial small subunit ribosomal RNA", at positions 524 to 776 of the family's 1533-position model. The record is from RNAcentral.
UACGUAGGGGGCAAGCGUUGUCCGGAAUCAUUGGGCGUAAAGCGCGUGUAGGCGGCCAGAAAAGUCCGCUGUGAAAACUCGAGGCUCAACUUCGAGCUGUCGGUGGAAACUUUCUGGCUAGAGUCCGGAAGAGGAGAAUGGAAUUCCUGGUGUAGCGGUGAAAUGCGCAGAUAUCAGGAAGAACACCCGUGGCGAAGGCGGGUCUCUGGGCAGUAACUGACGCUGAGGAGCGAAAGCGUGGGGAGCGAACAGG